RNAcentral lists this ribosomal RNA (348 nucleotides) under Blautia producta. RNAcentral describes it as "bacterial SSU rRNA". It matches the Rfam family "Bacterial small subunit ribosomal RNA", at positions 8 to 339 of the family's 1533-position model. Lineage: Bacteria; Bacillati; Bacillota; Clostridia; Lachnospirales; Lachnospiraceae. The record is from RNAcentral.
AGUGUUUGAUCAUGGCUCAGGAUGAACGCUGGCGGCGUGCUUAAUACAUGCAAGUCGAACGAAGCGACCGUGACGGAACCUUCGGGGGAAGAUGCGUUAGCUUAGUGGCGGACGGGUGAGUAACGCGUGGGUAACCUGCCUUAUACAGGGGGAUAACAUCUGGAAACAGAUGCUAAUACCGCAUAAGCGCACAGGAUCGCAUGAUCCAGUGUGAAAAGCUCCGACGGUAUAAGAUGGACCCGCGUCUGAUUAGCUAGUUGGUGGGGCAAUGGCCCACCAAGGCGACGAUCAGUAGCCGGCCUGAGAGGGUGGACGGCCACAUUGGGACUGAGACACGGCCCAGACUCC